RNAcentral lists this ribosomal RNA (789 nucleotides) under uncultured bacterium. Its description in RNAcentral is "bacterial SSU rRNA". It matches the Rfam family "Bacterial small subunit ribosomal RNA", at positions 8 to 796 of the family's 1533-position model. The record is from RNAcentral.
AGAGUUUGAUCAUGGCUCAGGAUGAACGCUAGCGGCAGGCUUAAUACAUGCAAGUCGAGGGGUAAGGCACUUUCGGGUGUACACGACCGGCGGACGGGUGCGUAACGCGUAUGCAACCUACCUUUAACUGGGGGAUAGCCCGAAGAAAUUCGGAUUAACCCCGCAUAACACUGUGAACGGGCAUCUGUUUACAGUUAAAACUCAGGUGGUUAAAGAUGGGCAUGCGUGACAUUAGCUGGUUGGUGGGGUAACGGCUCACCAAGGCGACGAUGUCUAGGGGUUCUGAGAGGAUGAUCCCCCACACUGGUACUGAGACACGGACCAGACUCCUACGGGAGGCAGCAGUAAGGAAUAUUGGUCAAUGGGCGCAAGCCUGAACCAGCCAUGCCGCGUGCAGGAAGACGGCCUUAUGGGUUGUAAACUGCUUUUAUAAAGGGAUAAACCCCCCGAUGUAUCGGGGGUUGAAGGUACUUUAUGAAUAAGCACCGGCUAACUCCGUGCCAGCAGCCGCGGUAAUACGGAGGGUGCGAGCGUUAUCCGGAUUUAUUGGGUUUAAAGGGUGCGCAGGCGGUCUGGUCAGUCAGUGGUGAAACCCCGUGGCUCAACUGCGGAACUGCCAUUGAUACUGCCAGACUUGAAUACGGUUGAGGUAGGCGGAAUGUAGCAUGUAGCGGUGAAAUGCAUAGAUAUGCUACAGAACACCGAUCGCGAAGGCAGCUUACCAAGCCGAUAUUGACGCUCAGGCACGAAAGCGUGGGGAGCGAACAGGAUUAGAUACCCUAGUAGUCC